This 372-nucleotide ribosomal RNA is filed under the name uncultured bacterium. RNAcentral's name for it is "bacterial SSU rRNA". It matches the Rfam family "Bacterial small subunit ribosomal RNA", at positions 420 to 806 of the family's 1533-position model. The record is from RNAcentral.
GGUAUGUAAAGCUCUAUCAGCAGGGAAGAAAAAAAUGACGGUACCUGANUAAGAAGCCCCGGCUAAUUACGUGCCAGCAGCCGCGGUAAUACGUAGGGGGCAAGCGUUAUCCGGAUUUACUGGGUGUAAAGGGAGCGCAGGCGGUGCGGCAAGUCUGAUGUGAAAGCCCGGGGCUCAACCCCGGGACUGCAUUGGAAACUGUCGUACUUGAGUAUCGGAGAGGUAAGUGGAAUUCCUAGUGUAGCGGUGAAAUGCGUAGAUAUUAGGAGGAACACCAGUGGCGAAGGCGGCUUACUGGACGAUAACUGACGCUGAGGCUCGAAAGCGUGGGGAGCAAACAGGAUUAGAUACCCUGGUAGUCCACGCCGUAAA